GCCCCGAUAGCUCAAUGGUAGAGCGCGGCUUUCGUAAAGCCGAGGUUGUCGGUUCGACCCCGACUCGGGGCU
RNAcentral lists this transfer RNA (72 nucleotides) under Planctomycetota bacterium. Its description in RNAcentral is "tRNA-Thr". It matches the Rfam family "tRNA". Rfam says of the family: Transfer RNA (tRNA) molecules are approximately 80 nucleotides in length. Their secondary structure includes four short double-helical elements and three loops (D, anti-codon, and T loops). Lineage: Bacteria; Pseudomonadati; Planctomycetota. The record is from RNAcentral.